GACGAACGCUGGCGGCGUGCUUAACACAUGCAAGUCGAGCGGUAAGGCCCUUUCGGGGGUACGACGAGCGGCGAACGGGUGAGUAACACGUGGGUGACCUGCCCUCAGCUCUGGGAGUAAGCCUGGGAAACCGGGGUACUAAUACUGGAUAUGACUCCAUGACGCAUGUUGUGGGGUGGAAAGCCUUGUGCGGCUGAGGAU
RNAcentral lists this ribosomal RNA (201 nucleotides) under uncultured bacterium. Its description in RNAcentral is "partial 16S ribosomal RNA". It matches the Rfam family "Bacterial small subunit ribosomal RNA", at positions 28 to 226 of the family's 1533-position model. The record is from RNAcentral.